CCUACGGGAGGCAGCAGUGGGGAAUAUUGCACAAUGGGCGAAAGCCUGAUGCAGCGACGCCGCGUGAGGGAUGACGGCCUUCGGGUUGUAAACCUCUUUCAGCAGGGAAGAAGCGAAAGUGACGGUACCUGCAGAAGAAGCACCGGCUAACUACGUGCCAGCAGCCGCGGUAAUACGUAGGGUGCGAGCGUUGUCCGGAAUUAUUGGGCGUAAAGAGCUUGUAGGCGGUUUGUCGCGUCUGCUGUGAAAAUCCGGGGCUCAACCCCGGACUUGCAGUGGGUACGGGCAGACUAGAGUGUGGUAGGGGAGACUGGAAUUCCUGGUGUAGCGGUGAAAUGCGCAGAUAUCAGGAGGAACACCGAUGGCGAAGGCAGGUCUCUGGGCCACUACUGACGCUGAGAAGCGAAAGCAUGGGGAGCGAACAGGAUUAGAUACCCUGGUAGUCCAUGCCGUAAACGUUGGGCGCUAGGUGUGGGACUCAUUCCACGAGUUCCGUGCCGCAGCUAACGCAUUAAGCGCCCCGCCUGGGGAGUACGGCCGCAAGGCUAAAACUCAAAGGAAUUGACGG
RNAcentral lists this ribosomal RNA (568 nucleotides) under Terrabacter sp. ICS20403. RNAcentral's name for it is "bacterial SSU rRNA". It matches the Rfam family "Bacterial small subunit ribosomal RNA", at positions 338 to 916 of the family's 1533-position model. Lineage: Bacteria; Bacillati; Actinomycetota; Actinomycetes; Micrococcales; Intrasporangiaceae. The record is from RNAcentral.